AAAGCAAGUCUUUGUUAGGAUCAAUAAGAUCGUAUGUAACUGACAGAGAAUAACCAGUAAUUCAGUAAGAGAAAAUCUUUGAUUAAUAAUAAUUUUUAUGUAAACCGAUAUUCCUCAAUUGAGUAUUUCAAGCUUUUCACGAUGAACAAGUGGAUCAUCUUAGCAGUAAUGUUAAUCACAGUAGUCUUGACUACAGCUCAGGAUGCCGACAAAGAUGACGCUGAGGAAGGAGAUCGAGGCCACUGUUUGUUCUACAUGCAACCAUGUCGUUGUUGUCGUGGUCUUACCUGUCGCAGAGGGAGAUGUGUACGUAUAAACGGAUAAUAUAUUAUGAAAGAGAUGAAUUUCUUCAGGUAAAGCGAGGAAAACACAUAUU
Long non-coding RNA from Limulus polyphemus (Atlantic horseshoe crab), 376 nucleotides. RefSeq lists it as uncharacterized. The record is from RefSeq and is a predicted model, not a curated record. The transcript is spliced from 3 exons. NCBI's taxonomy places the organism in Eukaryota, Metazoa, Arthropoda, Merostomata, Xiphosura, Limulidae.